GAUGAACGCUGGCGGCGUGCCUAAUACAUGCAAGUCGAGCGAACGGACGAGAAGCUUGCUUCUCUGAUGUUAGCGGCGGACGGGUGAGUAACACGUGGAUAACCUACCUAUAAGACUGGGAUAACUUCGGGAAACCGGAGCUAAUACCGGAUAAGAUUUUGAACCGCGUGGUUCGAAAGUGAAAGACGGUCUUGGUGUAAGGUAUAGAUGGAUCCGCGCUGCAUUAGCUGGUUGGUAAGGUAACGGCUUACCAAGGCAACGAUGCAUAGCCGACCUGAGAGGGUGAUCGGCCACACUAGAACUGAGACACGGUCCAGACUCCUACGAGAGGCAGCAGUAGGGUAUCUUCCGCAGUAGUCGAAAGCCUGACGGAGCAGCGCCGCGUGAGUGACGAAGAUCUUCGGAUCGUAAUACUCUGUUAUUAGGGAAGAACAGAUGUGUAAGUAACUGUGCACAUCUUGACGGUACCUAAUAAGAAAGCCACGGCUAACUACGUG
RNAcentral lists this ribosomal RNA (497 nucleotides) under uncultured bacterium. RNAcentral's name for it is "partial 16S ribosomal RNA". It matches the Rfam family "Bacterial small subunit ribosomal RNA", at positions 28 to 507 of the family's 1533-position model. The record is from RNAcentral.